UACGGAGGGAGCUAGCGUUAUUCGGAAUUACUGGGCGUAAAGCGCACGUAGGCGGCUUUGUAAGUAAGAGGUGAAAGCCUGGAGCUCAACUCCAGAACUGCCUUUUAGACUGCAUCGCUUGAAUCCAGGAGAGGUGAGUGGAAUUCCGAGUGUAGAGGUGAAAUUCGUAGAUAUUCGGAGGAACACCAGUGGCGAAGGCGGCUCACUGGCUCGAUACUGACGCUGAGGUGCGAAAGCGUGGGGAGCAAACAGG
This 253-nucleotide ribosomal RNA is filed under the name uncultured bacterium. RNAcentral's name for it is "partial 16S ribosomal RNA". It matches the Rfam family "Bacterial small subunit ribosomal RNA", at positions 524 to 776 of the family's 1533-position model. The record is from RNAcentral.